This 700-nucleotide ribosomal RNA is filed under the name uncultured bacterium. RNAcentral describes it as "bacterial SSU rRNA". It matches the Rfam family "Bacterial small subunit ribosomal RNA", at positions 56 to 747 of the family's 1533-position model. The record is from RNAcentral.
UGCAAGUCGAACAGUAGCACAGAGAGCUUGCUCUUGGGUGACGAGUGGCGGACGGGUGAGUAAUGUCUGGGAAACUGCCCGAUGGAGGGGGAUAACUACUGGAAACGGUAGCUAAUACCGCAUAACGUCGCAAGACCAAAGUGGGGGACCUUCGGGCCUCACACCAUCGGAUGUGCCCAGAUGGGAUUAGCUAGUAGGUGGGGUAACGGCUCACCUAGGCGACGAUCCCUAGCUGGUCUGAGAGGAUGACCAGCCACACUGGAACUGAGACACGGUCCAGACUCCUACGGGAGGCAGCAGUGGGGAAUAUUGCACAAUGGGCGCAAGCCUGAUGCAGCCAUGCCGCGUGUAUGAAGAAGGCCUUCGGGUUGUAAAGUACUUUCAGCGAGGAGGAAGGCGUUGUAGUUAAUAGCUGCAGCGAUUGACGUUACUCGCAGAAGAAGCACCGGCUAACUCCGUGCCAGCAGCCGCGGUAAUACGGAGGGUGCAAGCGUUAAUCGGAAUUACUGGGCGUAAAGCGCACGCAGGCGGUCUGUCAAGUCGGAUGUGAAAUCCCCGGGCUCAACCUGGGAACUGCAUUCGAAACUGGCAGGCUAGAGUCUUGUAGAGGGGGGUAGAAUUCCAGGUGUAGCGGUGAAAUGCGUAGAGAUCUGGAGGAAUACCGGUGGCGAAGGCGGCCCCCUGGACAAAGACUGACGCU